This 468-nucleotide ribosomal RNA is filed under the name uncultured bacterium. RNAcentral describes it as "partial 16S ribosomal RNA". It matches the Rfam family "Bacterial small subunit ribosomal RNA", at positions 28 to 507 of the family's 1533-position model. The record is from RNAcentral.
GACGGACGCUGGCGGCGUGCUUAACACAUGCAAGUCGAACGGAAAGGCCCUGCUUUUGUGGGGUGCUCGAGUGGCGAACGGGUGAGUAACACGUGAGUAACCUGCCCUUGACUUUGGGAUAACUUCAGGAAACUGGGGCUAAUACCGGAUAUGAGCUCCUGCUGCAUGGUGGGGGUUGGAAAGUUUCGGCGGUUGGGGAUGGACUCGCGGCUUAUCAGCUUGUUGGUGGGGUAGUGGCUUACCAAGGCUUUGACGGGUAGCCGGCCUGAGAGGGUGACCGGCCACAUUGGGACUGAGAUACGGCGCAGACUCCUACGGGAGGCAGCAGUGGGGAAUAUUGCACAAUGGGCGGAAGCCUGAUGCAGCAACGCCGCGUGCGGGAUGACGGCCUUCGGGUUAUAAACCGCUUUGGCCUGUGACGAAGAGUGAGUGACGGUAAUGGGUAAAGAAGCACCGGCUAACUACGUG